AUGGCGCCGGGGUUCACCAAAUUUGAUGUGGAGAAAUUCGAUGGCACGGAUAACUUCGGUCUAUGGCAGACAAGAGUCAAGGAUAUUCUGACGCAGCAGGGAAUCUUGAAGGGUUUGCAGGAGACGAAGCCGACCAAGGUUGACAACAAUGCGUGGGAGGAUAUGCAAGUGCAGGCGGCCGCUACCAUACGGCUUUGUCUUGCGGAUCAGAUGAACGACCUCUUCUCGUCGAGCUCGUUCAAGAAGUAUGCCGACCUGAAGGACCAGGUGGCGCUGGACGAGAUGGAGGCCGGCAGCGGCAGCGAGAGCGCCAACCUCGACAAGUUCUUCGAGGACGUGGAGGGCGUCAAGGAGGACAUCAGCGGCCUCGAGUCCAUGCACCGCCGGCUGCAGUCGGUGAACGAGGAGAGCAAGACCGCACACGACGCCCGCGCCGUCAAGUCGCUCCGCGCCCGCAUGGACGGCGACGUCGUGCAGGUCCUCCGCCGCGCUAAGGUCGUCAAGGCUAAGCUCGAGGCCCUCGACCGCGCCAACGCCGCCAGCCGUAAGCUCCCCGGCUGCGGCGCCGGCUCCUCCACCGACCGCACCCGCUCCUCCGUCGUCUCCGGCCUCGGCAACAAGCUCAAGGACCUCAUGGACGACUUCCAGGGCCUUCGGACGCGGAUGGCGGCGGAGUACAAGGAGACGGUGGCGCGGCGGUACUACACGGUGACGGGUGAGACGGCGGAGGAGAGCACGAUCGAGGCGCUCAUCGCGUCGGGGGAGAGCGAGACGUUCCUGCAGAAGGCGAUCCAGCGGGACCAAGGGCGCGGGCAGGUGAUGGCCACGGUGUCGGAGAUCCAGGAGCGGCACGACGCCGUGAAGGACAUCGAGCGCAGCCUGCUGGAGCUGCACCAGGUGUUCCUGGACAUGGCGGCGCUGGUGGAGGCGCAGGCCCACCAGCUCAACAACAUCGAGACCCACGUCGCGCGCGCCAGCUCCUUCGUGAUCAGGGGCACCGUGGAGCUCGAGUCCGCGCGCGUCUACCAGAAGAGCAGCCGCAAGUGGGCCUGCAUAGCCGUCGUCGCCGGCGCCGUGCUCGUCCUCGUCAUCGUGCUGCCGAUACUCGUCAACCUCAAGCUCUUGAGCGGCAGAUAG
RNAcentral lists this ribosomal RNA (1137 nucleotides) under Triticum aestivum (bread wheat). RNAcentral describes it as "partial small subunit ribosomal RNA". The record is from RNAcentral. Lineage: Eukaryota; Viridiplantae; Streptophyta; Magnoliopsida; Poales; Poaceae.